Mauremys reevesii (Reeves's turtle) is the source of this 855-nucleotide long non-coding RNA. RefSeq lists it as uncharacterized. The record is from RefSeq and is a predicted model, not a curated record. NCBI's taxonomy places the organism in Eukaryota, Metazoa, Chordata, Testudines, Geoemydidae. The transcript is spliced from 3 exons.
GGCAGGAAGAGGCAGAGCUUGUAAAAAACAGAUAGCUGAGCACAGACAGGUGCUGUGGGAAGAGAUCUGCAGUUACUUUCUCUGUGGCUAGGGAGAGUAGGUGCAGGAAGCAGUCCAGGGAAACAACAACAGGGGAGGAUAGUGUAGACCAUAGCUGCUGGUUGUGGGGUCCCUGGGCUGGAACUUGGAGAAGAGGUUGGGCCCAGGAUCCCCUAACAGCUAGUGGAGAAGUAGUACCAUUAAGAGGCAGUGAAUUGGAAGCCUGUCUGGAAUUGCUGGUACAGAAAGACUUUGGUACACAAACCCCCACCUCCAGAAGGGGAAAACUGCAGUGACCUAGCUGGAAGCAAGGCUGAGCUAUGUGAGGGAAAGAGACAGAGUGAGCACCUGCAGGAAGGGGCAUCAGACUGACUGACCUACUCCCCAGCCGUGGCUACAAGGGGAGGGUUUCUAGUGAUCUGAAUUCAGUCUUCUCAGCUGCUGCUUCAACGGCUAAUACCAUCUGUGAAAGGAAAAAUGAAACUCCGUACACUGCUUUAGGUGCUAAUGAUGCUAUCAACUUUUAGAUGAAAAGCAGAAAAUAAUGUGCUCACAUCUUGACAAAUGACUAGUCCAUAAAUCCCAGGCCAAACAACCUGUUGGACAACUUCCAGGAAGCGUUGAGACAUCCACCAAAAUAUCAAAGAGUAUAAUUAUACUUUCAUCAUGUGUUCCAGCUCAUCUGAGAAUAGUCAAGAGACAUUAAAGAAGACAAUCUCAUCUGAAUCUAAUUAUUGCUGACAUGAUGCUCAAUAUUGCUUAUAGAACUCAUCAUCUUUGAUUUGCUUCAUUAAACAAUGGCCUAAUCAGUUCCCA